UGGGGAGAAUGCAGGUGGUGUCUGGGCUGCAUUCUCUCCCUUGUUGUUUUUGGGGAAGGUCUUGCCUCCCUGAAUUGGGCUUUUAGCAUUUGGGGAGUGGCGUCCCAGAACAGUUUCUGCUUCUCUCCGGACUGUGUUCAUAUGCAGUGUCUCCUCUGUGUGUGGCUGUAUUCCAGUCUGUAAACGUGACUGCUGUGAGGACAGUGCAGAGUUAGUUGCUUAUUUUGUAAGACCUGUCUCAUUGUCAUGUGGUAUUUGCCCAGGAACUCGUGUUGUGACAUUCUUGUGGUGAGUGUGGCCCUUUAAAAGUUUCAUUUUCAGAUGUUAGAUGAGCCCCUAACUGGUGUCCUGAGAAGCAUUUAAGCCUCUCUCCCUAGAGUUUAAACCAGAGGAGCAGUAAUCCCAGUGGAGCCUGGGCUGGGGUCUAAAGAGAAGGUAGCAGAUGAGGUGGCAGAUGAUAGGCAGGGGCUGCUGUGGUCUCCUGACUCAUUUGCACAAAGGAGGGGCUGGCCUCUCCUGGGGAGGUAUUUCCGCUCAUUGCACCAAAUGAGGGCGCACAAAGGGCUGUAAUGUAAUGAGGCUCCUCUGGUGACGUCACUUGCAAGUGUGGUCAAAGUCCAGUUCUUGGGGGCUAGGAGACGGCAGUGGAGCUCUCCCUUCUCAGCUGUCACUGUGCCAUGGUGCCUACUUCCAGCCACUGAGCCGACACAGCUAGGCCCGGGGCAUGAACGCUUACAAGUACCAGAAGUUCCUGGAGGGGCUCAACAACCUGAGAGGGUUUAGAGAGAGGAGCAGUGAACCACAAUAGGAUGGCCACAACCUAUGUGGAUCAGGUUUAACAGUGACCUAAGUGGAUUCCUGAGGUUCUCAGGAGACCAUACCACUCAUAACUCUGUCUUCCUCUGCUGUAUGUGCUUCAGGAACAAAGUGCAGGAAUGAAUGAAUAACAUGGCUAGGAAUGAAUAAGUGACAGAUUAGAUGUACCUGUCAUAGUGAGUGUCCUGUAUGGGGCUGAAAUCAGAGAAGAGAAAUGACCACAGCAGCAGCAGCUCCCACUCCACUCUUCCUACCCAGACACUGGGACUCUCUGCCGUGUUAUUUUGGCUCUGCACGUCUAAGGUGAACUCAGAAACACUUACUGCUGUGGACAUUAAGUAAGAAGACAUAUGCACUUAGUUCAGUGUCUGCUUUACUUUGGACGUCCACUCAGUUGACCAGCCUGGAAGCCUGUUCCCAGUUGGCACAUCUGGGCUAGCAGGACAAGCCCUCACAUCCUGACAUGUGCCCUCCCAAAGUGGCCUUUUUUGGGGGACUUUUCUCCCCUCUUCAGUGUGACUAAUAAAGAACCCUAGGAAAAACACCUUAGAUUCCCCCCCGCCUCCCCGCAAUUAAAUAGAUGCGGUAUUUUGUCCUUAUAGAAAGAAUAGAAAAACAAAACACCCAAAUUACCAAAAUCCUACAGCCCAAAGAUCACUAUGUUCCUAUUUUCAUCAAGUCUUUGUCUAUCUCUCUCUAUAUAUAUAAUGUUGUGUUUUUAUAUAUUUGUUAUCAUUGUAAUUUAGUUGUCUUGCCCUUUAUUAUUUUGUGAGCAUUAUUUUUUUAUGCCUUUAACUAUUUGUCUGCAAUAUCAUUUCUUAACAGCUGUGUUAACUAUUUGUCUGCAAUAUCAUUUCUUAACAGCUGUGUGGAAUUUCAUCAAAUGUAAGGGUCAUUUAUUUAACGUCCUCCAAUUGUGGGGCGUGUACACUGCUCAUUUUUCAGUGCUUUAAUAUGAUAAUGAACAUCCUUAUAAAUAAACUUUUCUGUGCAUCUCUGAUUAUAUUUUUUGGAUAGAUUUCUAGAAGUGGAAUUACUGGUCUUAAUACAUAUAUUCAGAGCUCUGGAUGUUGGUUUUUAACUUUAUUUCACCUUUAAAAGCUACUGAGGUUACCUGUAACCCUUUGAAUACCUUUCUGAUAGCUCUCGGCCCUUUCCCUCCAGGGACAGCCCUGUCUUCGGGCUUAGUGGCCAGCAGGUUCAGAUGUUUUAUUAUCCAGUUAAUUUCAUCAUGGGACAGGUAGGUGCCAAGCGUCUCUUUCACUUAGUCAGCAGCUCCCACAUGUCAUCAUCACAUCACUGCACUGUCUUACUCUGAAGCUUUUCCCCCAGCAGCUCCAGCCUUCAUUGAAAAAUGGCUUCAUUGAUUCUUCCCACUGUAGUACCUUUUCCUUUUCUAUCAGGAGAGAUCCAUAAUGUUGAUCUGGAAACUGUAGUACCAAGAAUGACCUAAUCAAUGCUGUAUAGAGAUCCCACAUUGGAACCCCAGAUGGUACAAGGUUGAGAUUCUCUUUUUUUAGGUACGCGGGCCUCUCACUGUUGUGGCCUCUCCCCUUGUGGAGCGCAGGCUCCGGACGCGCAGGCUCAGCGGCCAUGGCUCACGGGCCCAGCCGCUCCGCGGCACGUGGGAUCUUCCCGGACCAGGGCACGAACCCGUGUCCCCCGCAUUGGCAGGCAGACCCUCAACCACUGCGCCACCAGGGAAGCCCCGAGAUUCUCUUUUUCUUUUGCUGUUGUCGCUGAGCUAGCAUCUACCUAGUAAAUUGCGCCAGCUUAACCUGAUAUAAUAGGCUGACGUUCUGCUGUGUCAUCACACUUGCUUAUGGUAGGUGUCUGCCUCUGGAAGAAAUGGAAAUGGUGCUGUGUGUUUAAAUCAACAUAUUGCAGUUGAGUGCAAAUUGGCUUCUGUUACUUGGGACUGACAGCCCUUAGGGUUAUUAUUAUGGACAUGAUGAGAGUACAGUCUUGUUUCUGACUUGGAGUUGACGUCCUGCAGCAGACAAUGUGGGGUUUUCCAGCUGAUGAUAGACUGGAUAGACGGUGUUUGGAGAUUAGCUUGAGGACUGAGAGAAGGAAGACACACAUGUGUGGGGCUUUGUGUGCCGGCGUCAAUAAGAACAUCCCGACAGCAUCCAGGAUGGUGGAAAAUGGCUUGAGUCACCCCCAGGAUUGCAUCCUUCCCAGUGAGAACUGCCUGCCUCUCCCGUUCCCAGAGCCCUUAAGCAAGCCUAUCACAAUGGGUUGGUUCUCUCCUCUGCAAGGAAUUCAGGAGUCUGCAUGCUUCUGGGGUGAGACCUGUCAAGACCUUUUACACCUACUAGACCCUCAGUAUAUCCUGUACUUUUUGGAUGCUUGGCAGUUUUGUACUGUUAAAGUUUAUCCCCUCCUUAAUUGUAUAUUUUUAGGCUUACUGCUUGUCUCUGGGCUGGAGAGGGGCAUUCUGUGCUGGUUUGAAAUGUGUGGGAAAUACGGGGUUCCAUGGUGUAAUGGUUAGUACUCUAGACUGUCAAAUGUGUGGGUUAGUUCUGUGGUGGGAUGGGGCUUUUGUUUUUGGUUACAACAGGGGAUGAGUGUUAUAUUCUCCCUCUUUCUCAAAGAGUGAGCCUAUAUGCUAACAAAGAAUAAAUUAUCAUUUCCCCCGCAUCCUUGGUCUUGUGUUUUUUUGAAGUAGGCAUUUCUGAAAGGUAA
Long non-coding RNA from Physeter macrocephalus (sperm whale), 3504 nucleotides. RefSeq lists it as uncharacterized. NCBI's taxonomy places the organism in Eukaryota, Metazoa, Chordata, Mammalia, Artiodactyla, Physeteridae. The record is from RefSeq and is a predicted model, not a curated record. The transcript is spliced from 4 exons.